Molecule: ribosomal RNA, 439 nt
Filed under: uncultured bacterium
Lineage: Bacteria
Description: partial 16S ribosomal RNA
Rfam family: Bacterial small subunit ribosomal RNA
Source: RNAcentral
CUACGGGGGGCUCCAGUGGGGAAUAUUGCACAAUGGAGGAAACUCUGAUGCAGCAACGCCGCGUGGGGGAUGACACUUUUCGGAGCGUAAACUCCUUUUAUAUAGGAAGAAGAUGACGGUACUAUAUGAAUAAGCGCCGGCUAACUCCGUGCCAGCAGCCGCGGUAAUACGGAGGGCGCAAGCGUUACUCGGAAUCACUGGGCGUAAAGAGCGUGUAGGCGGAUUAAAAAGUCAGAAGUGAAAUCCUAUAGCUUAACUAUAGAACUGCUUCUGAAACUCUUAAUCUAGAAUAUGGGAGAGGUAGAUGGAAUUUCUGGUGUAGGGGUAAAAUCCGUAGAGAUCAGAAGGAAUACCGAUUGCGAAGGCGAUCUACUAGAACAUUAUUGACGCUGAGACGCGAAAGCGUGGGGAGCAAACAGGAUUAAAUACCCGCGUAGUC